AUUUGCCCCAAAAGGACCACUCCAGAUGUAUUUAUCCUCAAACUGGCCCAUAUGCAAAUUGGCAAAGGUGGGGGAAAACUUGGUGCCCAUGGCAGUCCCGUAAAUCUGAUUCCCCCAGGAUUAACAUAGUGCAUACCCUGCCUUGGAUUAUAUCAAAGUGGUUCAGAUUGCUGUUCCAUACCGGUGAUAAGGAGAAUACAUUUUAUUCAUUUGGUAAUAUUAACGCUGAAUUGUCCCACCAACUGCAGUGUUUGGCGAUAAGAGAAUUUGCUAAAGAAGGUGCAACAUAGAAAAAUGUUCCUGCUCAAAACAAGAGUUAAGGCCGCUGUGGUUGGGUGGAAAUUAAGCUGCAGAAGAGCAGUAGAGGAAAGCAAUAACUGUUAAGAACAAGCAGGUAGAAGUUAAAAUCACCAGAGAUUCCAUCUAAUAAAUAUUUGCUAGCCCAUUACAUUGACCUUAAAUGGUAAAAUCUUCAAGAGAAAUCUAUGCCCAUAGGAGUCAUGUUCAGACAUAUGUAGGAGAAAUGUGCGUAAAAUAAUACCAAACAUGCGAGCAAACAUUUGUGAAAAUGAAAUGAGAUGGAGAAGUACUGUAAUAUAAAUUGGAGGUAUUAAUGAAGGAGUUUAAGAAACAGUAAAAAGAAAAGGAGGAAGGUGGAUUCCAUUUCAUAUUCAGCCUGAGGAUGAAAGAGCAUAAAGCUAAAUCCUUGAUCUAAUUAUGUAAUUAGAACAAAGCACUUGCUUCAUAUAUUUAGAAUUCUGACAAUAUCUCCGUGUGCAUAUCAUUAUUUUGAUUUACUGUUAUGUGCUGCUGUUUUA
Molecule: long non-coding RNA, 818 nt
Organism: Pseudophryne corroboree (corroboree frog)
Lineage: Eukaryota; Metazoa; Chordata; Amphibia; Anura; Myobatrachidae
Exons: 3
Source: RefSeq, a predicted model, not a curated record